Molecule: ribosomal RNA, 450 nt
Filed under: uncultured bacterium
Lineage: Bacteria
Description: bacterial SSU rRNA
Rfam family: Bacterial small subunit ribosomal RNA
Source: RNAcentral
AACGAACGCUGGCGGCAUGCCUAACACAUGCAAGUCGAACGCCCUCUUCGGAGGGAGUGGCGCACGGGUGCGUAACGCGUGGGAACCUGCCCUUAGGUUCGGAAUAACUCAGAGAAAUUUGAGCUAAUACCGGAUAAUGUCUUCGGACCAAAGAUUUAUCGCCUUUGGAUGGGCCCGCGUUGGAUUAGCUAGUUGGUGGGGUAAAGGCCUACCAAGGCGACGAUCCAUAGCUGGUCUGAGAGGAUGAUCAGCCACACUGGGACUGAGACACGGCCCAGACUCCUACGGGAGGCAGCAGUGGGGAAUAUUGGACAAUGGGCGAAAGCCUGAUCCAGCAAUGCCGCGUGAGUGAUGAAGGCCUUAGGGUUGUAAAGCUCUUUUACUGGGGAUGAUAAUGACGGUACCGCAAGAAUAAGCCCCGGCUAACUUCGUGCCAGCAGCCGCGGUAAU